CCCUUCUGUUGCUGUAGGACCCAGAGAGAAACAAAAGCUUAAAGACCUGAGUCAUCACAGAGCUGAGGAUGAUGAUUGCUGCCACAAACAUGAAAUAUGGGAAGUUGCAGCCAUACAUCCGCCUUGGUAUACGGGUGUCGCCACCAAGUGGGAAGUUCUCUUGAAACGACUGUAUUCGCAGUCCUUUAACAGGAAUGCAGAAACUGUUUGUCCCAAGAGAAAAAAUUAGAAUUUCCCUUGGCUACCAUCUCACACCUACAGUAUACCAAGCUUAUCAGAGGCUGCAAUAGAUGACAUUGUGUAUUUCAGUCACACUCAGGAAUCAUCCACAGGCACUACAGCAAGUGUGCCACUCAACCAAGAGUCCCAACUACCUAUGGACCAUCACCUAACACUGCCAUCUGUGGAUAUACCUCAGAUCAGUAAAGAUAGGUAAAAUUAACACUAUUUCUAAUAUACAGUAAGAGUGCAAUUAAAAAAAUACAUUUCAUAGUUUGAAUGUAUACCUACUGUACUACACAUUUCUUUAUUAUAAUGUAUACACAGUAUAUGUAUAUCUGUA
This is a long non-coding RNA of Homarus americanus (American lobster), 562 nucleotides long. RefSeq lists it as uncharacterized. The record is from RefSeq and is a predicted model, not a curated record. The transcript is spliced from 4 exons. NCBI's taxonomy places the organism in Eukaryota, Metazoa, Arthropoda, Malacostraca, Decapoda, Nephropidae.